This 502-nucleotide ribosomal RNA is filed under the name uncultured bacterium. RNAcentral's name for it is "partial 16S ribosomal RNA". It matches the Rfam family "Bacterial small subunit ribosomal RNA", at positions 28 to 507 of the family's 1533-position model. The record is from RNAcentral.
GACGAACGCUGGCGGCGUGCUUAACACAUGCAAGUCGAACGGUGAAGGGGUCUGCUUUUGUGGGCCCUGGAUGAGUGGCGAACGGGUGAGUAACACGUGAGUAACCUGCCCCCUUCUUCUGGAUAACCGCAUGAAAGUGUGGCUAAUACGGGAUAUUCUGGGUCUGUCGCAUGAUGGGUCUGGGAAAGAUUGCGCCUUUGGGUGUUUUUGGUGGGGGAUGGGCUCGCGGCCUAUCAGCUUGUUGGUGGGGUGAUGGCCUACCAAGGCGGUGACGGGUAGCCGGCCUGAGAGGGUGGACGGUCACACUGGGACUGAGACACGGCCCAGACUCCUACGGGAGGCAGCAGUGGGGAAUACUGCACAAUGGGCGCAAGCCUGAUGCAGCGACGCCGCGUGAGGGAUGGAGGCCUUCGGGUUGUAAACCUCUUUCGCCAGUGAAGCAGGCCUGCUCCUCGUGGGUGGGUUGACGGUAGCUGGAUAAGAAGCGCCGGCUAACUACGUG